GCCGCGUUAGCUCAGCUGGUAGAGCACCUGAUUUGUAAUCAGGGGGUCAGGGGUUCGAGUCCCUUACGCGGCA
This 73-nucleotide transfer RNA is filed under the name Candidatus Viadribacter manganicus. Its description in RNAcentral is "Caulobacteraceae bacterium OTSz_A_272 tRNA". It matches the Rfam family "tRNA". From Rfam's summary of the family: Transfer RNA (tRNA) molecules are approximately 80 nucleotides in length. The record is from Rfam by way of RNAcentral. RNAcentral also lists the same sequence under 1 other name. Lineage: Bacteria; Pseudomonadati; Pseudomonadota; Alphaproteobacteria; Hyphomonadales; Hyphomonadaceae.